This 626-nucleotide ribosomal RNA is filed under the name uncultured bacterium. RNAcentral describes it as "bacterial SSU rRNA". It matches the Rfam family "Bacterial small subunit ribosomal RNA", at positions 246 to 863 of the family's 1533-position model. The record is from RNAcentral.
UAGUUGGUGGGGUAAAGGCCUACCAAGGCGACGAUCUGUAGCGGGUCUGAGAGGAUGACCCGCCACACUGGGACUGAGACACGGCCCAGACUCCUACGGGAGGCAGCAGUGGGGAAUAUUGGACAAUGGGCGGAAGCCUGAUCCAGCCAUGCCGCGUGUGUGAAGAAGGCCUUUUGGUUGUAAAGCACUUUAAGCGAGGAGGAGGCUACCUGGAUUAAUACUCUGGGAUAGUGGACGUUACUCGCAGAAUAAGCACCGGCUAACUCUGUGCCAGCAGCCGCGGUAAUACAGAGGGUGCGAGCGUUAAUCGGAUUUACUGGGCGUAAAGCGUGCGUAGGCGGCUUUUUAAGUCGGAUGUGAAAUCCCCGAGCUUAACUUGGGAAUUGCAUUCGAUACUGGGAAGCUAGAGUAUGGGAGAGGAUGGUAGAAUUCCAGGUGUAGCGGUGAAAUGCGUAGAGAUCUGGAGGAAUACCGAUGGUGAAGGCAGCCAUCUGGCCUAAUACUGACGCUGAGGUACGAAAGCAUGGGGAGCAAACAGGAUUAGAUACCCUGGUAGUCCAUGCCGUAAACGAUGUCUACUAGCCGUUGGGGCCUUUGAGGCUUUAGUGGCGCAGCUAACGCGAUAA